Molecule: ribosomal RNA, 601 nt
Filed under: Escherichia coli
Lineage: Bacteria; Pseudomonadati; Pseudomonadota; Gammaproteobacteria; Enterobacterales; Enterobacteriaceae
Description: bacterial SSU rRNA
Rfam family: Bacterial small subunit ribosomal RNA
Source: RNAcentral
AAAUUGAAGAGUUUGAUCAUGGCUCAGAUUGAACGCUGGCGGCAGGCCUAACACAUGCAAGUCGAACGGUAACAGGAAGCAGCUUGCUGCUUUGCUGACGAGUGGCGGACGGGUGAGUAAUGUCUGGGAAACUGCCUGAUGGAGGGGGAUAACUACUGGAAACGGUAGCUAAUACCGCAUAACGUCGCAAGACCAAAGAGGGGGACCUUCGGGCCUCUUGCCAUCGGAUGUGCCCAGAUGGGAUUAGCUAGUAGGUGGGGUAACGGCUCACCUAGGCGACGAUCCCUAGCUGGUCUGAGAGGAUGACCAGCCACACUGGAACUGAGACACGGUCCAGACUCCUACGGGAGGCAGCAGUGGGGAAUAUUGCACAAUGGGCGCAAGCCUGAUGCAGCCAUGCCGCGUGUAUGAAGAAGGCCUUCGGGUUGUAAAGUACUUUCAGCGGGGAGGAAGGGAGUAAAGUUAAUACCUUUGCUCAUUGACGUUACCCGCAGAAGAAGCACCGGCUAACUCCGUGCCAGCAGCCGCGGUAAUACGGAGGGUGCAAGCGUUAAUCGGAAUUACUGGGCGUAAAGCGCACGCAGGCGGUUUGUUAAGUCAG